RNAcentral lists this ribosomal RNA (502 nucleotides) under uncultured bacterium. RNAcentral describes it as "bacterial SSU rRNA". It matches the Rfam family "Bacterial small subunit ribosomal RNA", at positions 55 to 507 of the family's 1533-position model. The record is from RNAcentral.
AUGCAAGUCGAGCGCAUUGUAGGUUGAAAUGAUAUGAAGAACUUGUUCAGAUUUGAUUUUAACAAUUGCAAUGAGUGGCGAACGGGUGAGUAACACGUGGGAAACCUACCUCUUAGCAGGGGAUAACAUUUGGAAACAAAUGCUAAUACCGUAUAAUAAUUAAAACCGACAUGGUUUUAGUUUAAAAGAUGGUCUUGCUAUCACUAAGAGAUGGUCCCGCGGUGUAUUAGUUAGUUGGUGAGGUAAUGGCUCACCAAGACAAUGAUACAUAGCCGAGUUGAGAGACUGACCAGCCACAAUGGGACUGAGACACGGCCCAUACUCCUACGGGAGGCAGCAGUAGGGAAUCUUCCACAAUGGACGAAAGUCUGAUGGAGCAACGCCGCGUGUGUGAUGAAGGGUUUCGGUCUCGUAAAACAACUGUUGUAAGAGAAGAAUGACAUUGAGAGUAACUGUUCAAUGUGUGACGGUAUCUUACCAGAAAGGAACGGCUAAAUACGUG